GACGAACGCUGGCGGCGUGCUUAACACAUGCAAGUCGAACGGUGAGCCUCUUCGAAGGGGAUCAGUGGCGAACGGGUGAGUAACACGUGGGCAACCUGCCCCCGGCUCUGGGAUAACUCCAAGAAAUUGGGGCUAAUACCGGAUGUUCACCGCUUCCCGCAUGGGUGGUGGUGGAAAGGGUUUCCGGCUGGGGAUGGGCCCGCGGCCUAUCAGCUUGUUGGUGGGGUAGUGGCCUACCAAGGCGGCGACGGGUAGCCGGCCUGAGAGGGUGACCGGCCACACUGGGACUGGGACACGGCCCAGACUCCUACGGGAGGCAGCAGUGGGGAAUAUUGCGCAAUGGGCGGAAGCCUGACGCAGCGACGCCGCGUGGGGGAUGACGGCCUUCGGGUUGUAAACCUCUUUCAGCAGGGACGAAGCGCAAGUGACGGUACCUGCAGAAGAAGCACCGGCCAACUACGUG
This 463-nucleotide ribosomal RNA is filed under the name uncultured bacterium. RNAcentral describes it as "partial 16S ribosomal RNA". It matches the Rfam family "Bacterial small subunit ribosomal RNA", at positions 28 to 507 of the family's 1533-position model. The record is from RNAcentral.